Non-coding RNA from Panaeolus papilionaceus, 83 nucleotides. The record is from the annotation of a GenBank genome assembly. Lineage: Eukaryota; Fungi; Basidiomycota; Agaricomycetes; Agaricales.
GUCCGUAUCGAUUAGGGGUUAAAUCACUUCGUUGUGGUCAAUCCAAUUCCGAAGAGCCGCUGGUUCGAUUCCAGCUACGGACA